This 629-nucleotide ribosomal RNA is filed under the name Vibrio diazotrophicus. RNAcentral describes it as "bacterial SSU rRNA". It matches the Rfam family "Bacterial small subunit ribosomal RNA", at positions 81 to 704 of the family's 1533-position model. Lineage: Bacteria; Pseudomonadati; Pseudomonadota; Gammaproteobacteria; Vibrionales; Vibrionaceae. The record is from RNAcentral.
UUCUCGGGUGGCGAGCGGCGGACCGGUGAGUAAUGCCUGGGAAAUUGCCCUGAUGUGGGGGAUAACCAUUGGAAACGAUGGCUAAUACCGCAUGAUAGCUUCGGCUCAAAGAGGGGGACCUUCGGGCCUCUCGCGUCAGGAUAUGCCCAGGUGGGAUUAGCUAGUUGGUGAGGUAAUGGCUCACCAAGGCGACGAUCCCUAGCUGGUCUGAGAGGAUGAUCAGCCACACUGGAACUGAGACACGGUCCAGACUCCUACGGGAGGCAGCAGUGGGGAAUAUUGCACAAUGGGCGCAAGCCUGAUGCAGCCAUGCCGCGUGUGUGAAGAAGGCCUUCGGGUUGUAAAGCACUUUCAGUCGUGAGGAAGGUGGUGUUGUUAAUAGCAGCAUCAUUUGACGUUAGCGACAGAAGAAGCACCGGCUAACUCCGUGCCAGCAGCCGCGGUAAUACGGAGGGUGCGAGCGUUAAUCGGAAUUACUGGGCGUAAAGCGCAUGCAGGUGGUUUGUUAAGUCAGAUGUGAAAGCCCGGGGCUCAACCUCGGAAUAGCAUUUGAAACUGGCAAGCUAGAGUACUGUAGAGGGGGGGUAGAAUUUCAGGUGUAGCGGGUGAAAUGCGUAGAGAUCUGAAGG